Molecule: ribosomal RNA, 369 nt
Filed under: Triticum aestivum (bread wheat)
Lineage: Eukaryota; Viridiplantae; Streptophyta; Magnoliopsida; Poales; Poaceae
Description: partial small subunit ribosomal RNA
Source: RNAcentral
AUGGUGGACAAUCUACAUCCCGCCAUCCUCUCCGCCAUUCCCACCAUAUUUGGCUUGGCGCAUGACACUGGCCAUGAGUGUUCAAUGUGCUAUGGAGAACUUUGUGCAUGCUUUCCCAUUCUCCAACACAAUAAAUCUGAGUAUAUGCACCUAAGAAGCCUCUUACAGUCACUGCCAAACCAAUACCAUAUAUGGGUUGAUAUUUCUAUGGAUUUUGUGCAUGGCCUUUCAUGGGAGUGCGGAAAACUAGUCAUUCUUUCAAUGGUGGAUCGUUUCUCAAUGAUGGCACACUUCAUUCUUCUUGUUCAUCCCCUACCAGACAGUAAAAGUCGCACAUGCUUUCUUCACCGACAUUGUUUGGCUUCAUAA